Molecule: long non-coding RNA, 1279 nt
Organism: Helianthus annuus (common sunflower)
Lineage: Eukaryota; Viridiplantae; Streptophyta; Magnoliopsida; Asterales; Asteraceae
Exons: 2
Source: RefSeq, a predicted model, not a curated record
UUAUACACACUUUAUUUCUAUGAAAUACACACUACAACACCCAAAUUUCAACCAAAAAACUCCAUGGAAGGCUCAAGUAAAAAAAGACUGCUACGAAGAUAAAAUUUAGGACGCAUGUCCGUGCUAAUCUAGGCGAACCAAAAUUUUGUUUACAAGAUAAACUAAUACCCACACAGCCGUUUCCCACCCAACCAUAUAACACCCAAUCGUAUCCACUUUAUCCACAACAUUUCCCCCAUCCAAACAUGCCAACCCAAGUCGCAAGCGGUCAUUUUACUUUAUCACCCAACGACCAACCCGUUUCCAACCAACCUAUGGACGUGCAAAUGGUCGUCCGUUUCGCGUAUCGCGUACCUACCUCCCACUACCAAAAAAACAGUAUCGUAACCUGGUUUGUGAUCCCGAUUCGGACGAAUGCUGCUGCUACUGCUAUUAGGAGACGUAUUUGGAGAUCAACAAUAAAAACCCGUAUUUGGAGACGUAUUAUCCCACAUUGUGGAAGAUUGCAUGAUGCAGAUGCUACUAUUAGGAGCAUGGAUCAAAUGACGGGUAAAUGGACAGAUAUAAAUAAAAAAAACGAGUCGAUUCAAUGCGUGCUACAUGGAAAAAGCUUUGCAAUCAACCAAGUGGAACGAAUGACGCAAAUGUAAUCCAAGGAGCCCUAAGAGAGUACCAAAGACUCUAUCCGAAGAAAACUGGAUUUAUUCAUUUAAAGGCUUGGGAAAUUGAGAGGACUCAUGAUAAAUUGGUACUCAUUAUGUUGAAUGAUCUUGAUGGCCCAACAGGUACUCGUGAAGGACGUUCUAAAAAAGAUUAAAAAAACGCCCGAUUCGGGAAAUUACACAACCUCAACGGAUGGGUUAUCAAUCAUCAUUCCUGACCUCAAUUUAAAUGACAACUCAACCGACAACACAACACCAACACGGCCGCAACGGAGGAAAAGUUUCGAGUCGUCAAGCAAAGGGAAAGAAGGUUGGGUGGAUUCCAUGAACGAAUUUAAGUCAGCAAAAAUGUUUGACAUUGAGGAGAAUAGAGAACGACGCAAGUUGUUGGCGGAUACAAAGCUAAAAAGAGUAGAACAAUACAUGAAACACUUGGUUGAGAUUGAGAAGAAUAAAGAUUUGAAAGUUUUGAGCCAACCGCUCGAAAAUGCCGAAGAACCGUAUUGGUCGAUUCUCAAAGAACGCAAAUGGGAAAUUCGUGCGGAGUGAUAUUGGCCAUGUAACUUUUAGGUUUUUUUUAUUUAAAUUCGAUAGUUUAUUUAUUUAUUUUUGCAACA